Long non-coding RNA from Acanthopagrus latus (yellowfin seabream), 1331 nucleotides. RefSeq lists it as uncharacterized. The transcript has 2 exons. The record is from RefSeq and is a predicted model, not a curated record. NCBI's taxonomy places the organism in Eukaryota, Metazoa, Chordata, Actinopteri, Spariformes, Sparidae.
CAGAGCUUCAAUCACAGUUGCUCCCCCAAAGGAAUGCCCCACGGCUGCUAUCCUACACAGAUCCAUGGAGUUCUGUUGGCCAGGAGACAGGAGGAAGUGCCGUUAAAGAAGAGAAAACAAUUAAAUGCAUGCACCACAAGCUGAGUGAAGGCAGACUCAACAGUCAACAUCUCCAAAACUCAGCCACUCACACAGAAACUAGAUGGAUAAAAAGCCCUCGAGCAGGUAAGAGGAUACAUAUGUAUUUUGAUUUUGGGUUUUGAUAUCCCUUUAAACGAAAGUGAAUCAAAGUUUAAAGUAAAUUAAAGAUGACUAUAACUACAAUGUGGCUUAUGGAACGUCUUCUUUCACAUGAUUAAGAAAUGAGGAAAGUUUCUGGGUUGCAGAUUGAUGGUGGAUUCUUUUCUCUGACUGCUUUGGUUUGUUUUUGCUCACAGGCUUAGCAAACUAAUUUGGCAGUGUGACAAAAGCAGCGCCGGCUGAGCGGCGUGACUGACCUCUGACCGUCAGUGCAGGCAUGUGAACAACGUCACAGCACACGCUGUUUUUUCUGUGGCUUCAGCCGUUAACCAGCUGCUAAAACCGAGUGAAAUACCACUUCAGUCCACAUGAGUGACGGACUAACUGUGGCCAUUAUGUUCAUCUCCAUAUGGUCCCCCUAUGGUCUCUAUACUGAAAAGAAAUGUGAUGACCUGGUUCGUACUAUUGUCUGCACACCCUUUCCUCUCCUACUCCACAGAUAAACAGACCGCCGCCUGCAGAAGAGACUGCCCUGUGGUUUUGUUUGCUUGACUCACGUUCAACUAGAAUUUCCUCCGACUGACACGCGAGUUUCACAUUUUCAGUGUGCGUAUCGCCAGCUCACAGUCUGAAUAUAGUUCAAAUCCCUGAAGACUCCAGACAUCUGUUUGAAUUACUGAUUGAUAAUACAUCUAUCAUCAGAGUCCCUUCACCUCGUCUACAGUCAAAUUCAAGCACUUUUCAGGCAUUUUUAAGCAGCUUGUGGCAGAUUACAUGAUAAUACACAUAUAUACACUCAAAGCAAUUCUUUCACUUCCUCACAUUGAAACCGAUAUAUAUUUCAUUAUAGCCUUUUACAGGGCGAAAAACAAAAGAGAAAGUUUCAUGUUUGAAUAUGAGUCACCUGUUUCUAAGUAGACUAAACAUCUUCUUGUUAAAAGCUAUGAAGUUUUAAUUCCAAACACUGUGUCUAAAAUUUCAGCACUUUUCGAACUUGUGCUUUUUUAAGGAUUUCCAACAUCUCUCUGAAGCUUGUAUGACCUUUAUUUAUGUGCUAUGAGUUGACAAAAUAAAUCCUGACAUCAUGACGA